RNAcentral lists this ribosomal RNA (497 nucleotides) under uncultured bacterium. Its description in RNAcentral is "partial 16S ribosomal RNA". It matches the Rfam family "Bacterial small subunit ribosomal RNA", at positions 28 to 507 of the family's 1533-position model. The record is from RNAcentral.
GAUGAACGCUGGCGGCGUGCCUAAUACAUGCAAGUCGAGCGAACAGACGAGGAGCUUUCUCCUCUGACGUUAGCGGCGGACGGGUGAGUAACACGUGGAUAACCUACCUAUAAUACGGGGAUAACUUCGGGAAACCGGAGCUACUACCGGCUAAUAUAUUGAACCGCAUGGUUCAAUAGUGAAAGACGGCUUUGCUGUCACUUUUAGAUGGAUCCGCGCCGGAUUAGCUAGUUGGUAAGGUAACGGCUUACCAAGGCAACGAUGCGUAGCCGACCUGAGAGGGUGAUCAGCCACACUGGAACUGAGACACGGUCCAGACUCCUACGGGAGGCAGCAGUAGGGAAUAUUCCACAAUGGGCGCAAGCUUGACGGAGCAACACCGCGUGGGUGAUGAAGGUCUUCGGAUUGUAAAGCUCUGUUAUUAGGGAAGAACAAAAGUGUAAGUAACUCUGCACGUUUUGACGGUACCUAAUGAGAAAGCAACGGCUAACUACGUG